CGGGUGAGUAAUGCGUGACCAACCUGCCCCAUGCUCCAGAAUAGCUCUUGGAAACGGGUGGUAAUGCUGGAUGCUCCAACUUGACGCAUGUCUUGUUGGGAAAGUGUUUAGUGGCAUGGGAUGGGGUCGCGUCCUAUCAGCUUGUAGGCGGGGUAAUGGCCCACCUAGGCUUCGACGGGUAGCCGGCCUGAGAGGGCGGACGGCCACAUUGGGACUGAGAUACGGCCCAGACUCCUAGGGAGGCAGCAGGC
RNAcentral lists this ribosomal RNA (251 nucleotides) under uncultured Gardnerella sp. Its description in RNAcentral is "partial 16S ribosomal RNA". It matches the Rfam family "Bacterial small subunit ribosomal RNA", at positions 103 to 354 of the family's 1533-position model. Lineage: Bacteria; Bacillati; Actinomycetota; Actinomycetes; Bifidobacteriales; Bifidobacteriaceae. The record is from RNAcentral.